ACGCUUUCGCGCCUCAGUGUCAGUUACAGACCAGAAAGUCGCCUUCGCCACUGGUGUUCCUCCAUAUCUCUACGCAUUUCACCGCUACACAUGGAAUUCCACUUUCCUCUUCUGCACUCAAGUCUCCCAGUUUCCAAUGACCCUCCACGGUUGAGCCGUGGGCUUUCACAUCAGACUUAAGAAACCACCUGCGCGCGCUUUACGCCCAAUAAUUCCGGAAACGCUUGCACNGUUAACCGGGGNUGUUGGCACGUAGUUAGCCGGGGNUUUNUGGUUAGGUACCGNCAAGGNGCCAGCUUAUUCAACUAGCACUNGUUCUUCCCUAACAACAGAGUUUUACGACCCGAAAGCCUUCAUNACUCACGCGGGGUUGCUCCGUCAGACUUUCGUCCAUUGCGGAAGAUUCCCUACUGCUGCCUCCCGUAGGAGUCNGGGGCCGGGUUUAAGUCCCAGNGNGGCCGAUCACCCUNUNAGGUNGGNUACNCAUCGNNGCCUUGGUGAGCNNGUUACCNUCACCAACUAGNUAAUGCGACGNGGGUCCNNCCAUAAGNGACAGCCNAAGCCGCCUUUAAUUU
Molecule: ribosomal RNA, 575 nt
Filed under: Bacillus cereus
Lineage: Bacteria; Bacillati; Bacillota; Bacilli; Caryophanales; Bacillaceae
Description: partial 16S ribosomal RNA
Source: RNAcentral